This 273-nucleotide unclassified non-coding RNA is filed under the name Rickettsia africae. The record is from RNAcentral. Lineage: Bacteria; Pseudomonadati; Pseudomonadota; Alphaproteobacteria; Rickettsiales; Rickettsiaceae.
CUGUGAGAUUACAUAUGCAUAUAGUGUUAAUGCUAUAAGAGUGUAGUAUCUACUCACAAAGUUAUCAGGUUAAAUAGUUUUAUCAACUAAUAAAAAUGUUAUUGCAUAAUUAAUGUUAUACUGUAGCCCUGCCACGAUAUCCAGCGAAAAUUAUUUUGCUGAGUAUCGGUAGUAAAAGUUAAGAUUAAGAUAUGAUGUUGAGAAUUUUUUUGAGUCGUGCAACAACAUUAACAGCAAACUAUAAUACAAAUCUAUCUUUUUAAAAGUUUGUAU